UACGUAGGGGGCAAGCGUUAUCCGGAUUUACUGGGUGUAAAGGGAGCGCAGACGGCAUGGCAAGUCUGAAGUGAAAGGCAUGGGCUCAACCUGUGGACUGCUUUGGAAACUGUCAGGCUAGAGUGUCGGAGAGGCAAGUGGAAUUCCUAGUGUAGCGGUGAAAUGCGUAGAUAUUAGGAGGAACACCAGUGGCGAAGGCGGCUUGCUGGACGAUGACUGACGUUGAGGCUCGAAAGCGUGGGGAGCAAACAGG
Molecule: ribosomal RNA, 253 nt
Filed under: uncultured bacterium
Lineage: Bacteria
Description: partial 16S ribosomal RNA
Rfam family: Bacterial small subunit ribosomal RNA
Source: RNAcentral